This 70-nucleotide transfer RNA is filed under the name Malacoptila fusca (white-chested puffbird). Its description in RNAcentral is "tRNA-Glu". It matches the Rfam family "tRNA". From Rfam's summary of the family: Transfer RNA (tRNA) molecules are approximately 80 nucleotides in length. Their secondary structure includes four short double-helical elements and three loops (D, anti-codon, and T loops). Further hydrogen bonds mediate the characteristic L-shaped molecular structure. tRNAs have two regions of fundamental functional importance: the anti-codon, which is responsible for specific mRNA codon recognition, and the 3' end, to which the tRNAs corresponding amino acid is attached (by aminoacyl-tRNA synthetases). tRNAs cope with the degeneracy of the genetic code in two manners: having more than one tRNA (with a specific anti-codon) for a particular amino acid; and 'wobble' base-pairing, i.e. permitting non-standard base-pairing at the 3rd anti-codon position. Lineage: Eukaryota; Metazoa; Chordata; Aves; Piciformes; Bucconidae. The record is from RNAcentral.
GUUCUCGUAGUUGAGGCGUACAACGGCGGCUUUUCAAGCCGUAGGUCUUGGAGAAAAGCCAAGCGGGAAU